This is a non-coding RNA of Acanthosepion pharaonis, 100 nucleotides long. NCBI's taxonomy places the organism in Eukaryota, Metazoa, Mollusca, Cephalopoda, Sepiida, Sepiidae. The record is from the annotation of a GenBank genome assembly.
CCAUAUAACGCUGAAAUACCGGUUCCCAUACGAUCACCGAAGUUAAGCAACGUCGAGCCUGGUCAGUACCUAGAUAGGUGACUGCUUGGAAAUAUACGGU